CUCAGGAUGAACGCUGGCGGCGUGCCUAAUACAUGCAAGUCGAGCGAAUGGAUUAAGAGCUUGCUCUUAUGAAGUUAGCGGCGGACGGGUGAGUAACACGUGGGUAACCUGCCCAUAAGACUGGGAUAACUCCGGGAAACCGGGGCUAAUACCGGAUAACAUUUUGAACCGCAUGGUUCGAAAUUGAAAGGCGGCUUCGGCUGUCACUUAUGGAUGGACCCGCGUCGCAUUAGCUAGUUGGUGAGGUAACGGCUCACCAAGGCAACGAUGCGUAGCCGACCUGAGAGGGUGAUCGGCCACACUGGGACUGAGACACGGCCCAGACUCCUACGGGAGGCAGCAGUAGGGAAUCUUCCGCAAUGGACGAAAGUCUGACGGAGCAACGCCGCGUGAGUGAUGAAGGCUUUCGGGUCGUAAAACUCUGUUGUUAGGGAAGA
RNAcentral lists this ribosomal RNA (437 nucleotides) under Bacillus cereus. RNAcentral describes it as "bacterial SSU rRNA". It matches the Rfam family "Bacterial small subunit ribosomal RNA", at positions 23 to 448 of the family's 1533-position model. The record is from RNAcentral. Lineage: Bacteria; Bacillati; Bacillota; Bacilli; Caryophanales; Bacillaceae.